CUUCGAGAUAGACAAGGGGAGAGCGAGGGGGGGAGAGAGGGGGAGGGAGAGCAGUGGCCUAUUGUGAUUGCUUCCCUAAAAAAUAACUGAAAGUGGUGCUGCUGACUGCAAGAGGCACACGCAUCGCAAAUGAAAUGGCCCUGUGAACAUUGUAAACUAAACUCUUUUUUCUUUUUCUUUUUUAAAUCUUUUUUCUUUUCUCCGGGUCAUAAUUAAAACCAUGCGCCUUCACUUUCAGAUACAGAGAUGCCGCAUCCAACAGGGGGCACUUGUGGCACGUGUAGCUGGAGCGCAUUUCGUUAUGAAAGUCCUCCUUUUAAAAUACGAAGGAACAUUGGUUUUUUUAUUUAUUCGAUUCUGCCGAAUCUGCCAUUUAAUCGUCGCAAAUGCGAAGCGCCCCUCGUGAGCUCUGUGGCGACGCAACCAUCAGGUCGCCUGUAGGUGGGAAAGAAAUCAUGGAGGCCGGAGAAACAGAGACACGCUGUCAAUCUGCAACAGGCUGCCUGAGCACUUAACGGGGGGGGGGGGGGGGGGGGUGUUCGGGUCCAGGGGUCCGCUUGGUUGGCGGACAGACUGGCGUCCCGGGCCGCGGGUAUUGGACGGAGAACAAUGUUUCUGGAGAUGGACCGAAGGGGCCGGCGAACGCUCGCGCCCACACGCCGACUACGUGUGGAUAUUCUAAUGAGCAAUCUGGCCCCCCGUGAAUAUUAAUCUUUUUCGCAGCUCGCGUGACAUCGUGCAAAGUUGACGUAUAUAUAUAUAUAUAUAUAUAUAUGUUUUUUUCUUCUCCUAGAUCUCCGGGGGAUGAAGGUGUCGGCGACGGCGUUUUGUCGAGGCGCCCGUGAGCGACGUGCUCCUCUGAAACCUCUCGUUCACGGGCCCGCCACUCUGGGGGAGCGGCGCGAAAGGUCGCCCGGCGACCGGGCCCGAGGGUCAGCGACUGGUAAGAAUCACGCGUUAUCUUUUCCGUUUCGACUGAUGCAGAAUUGGCGCGAAUCCCUCCGUCGGUUGGGCGAAGCAGACCCCGGCGCGGCGGGUUUCUUUAAUACCAACGUCGGCGAUUCCAAAAUAAAUGCAACCUGCUGAGCUCAGUGGCAGCUCUUUACACGCGGUGUCCACGAAACGUGCGUGUGCACUGAAUGUAAUCUGAAAAAAAGAAUAAUAACCCGUCGGCAUGAUUCACACUACACACACACACACACACACACACACACACUCCCACUUGUUUCCUCUGCUCCCUUCAGAUGCAAGUCACAUGACAUCACUCAAGAGGUGCUCUAAAAAUCAGUGUGGGUACUGCGUGUGGGUUGGCAACACGCGUGUGUGUGUGCGCGUGUGGUUUGUGCCUGCGUGGGUGAGGGGAAUAAAAGCCAAAGCCCCAGAGCCGUGGGCCCGUGAUGACUGUGUGUGUGUGUGUGUGUGCGUGUGUGCGGUGUGUGUGCGUGUGCCCAGCCGGCGGCUCUGGUCCCGGGUUGCGCCGCCUCCCACGCCGGGCUACGGCUGGGCCUGAGUGGGAGGGAGGAGUGGGCCGCGGCUGUGAGUCAGCCUGUUGCGGAGCCCCCCAGACAAGAGGCCGCUGAGGGGGGAGAGAGAG
This is a long non-coding RNA of Gasterosteus aculeatus aculeatus (three-spined stickleback), 1594 nucleotides long. Lineage: Eukaryota; Metazoa; Chordata; Actinopteri; Perciformes; Gasterosteidae. The record is from Ensembl.